This 56-nucleotide non-coding RNA is filed under the name Rhodnius prolixus. Its description in RNAcentral is "Li+-I sequence". It matches the Rfam family "nhaA-I RNA". Rfam says of the family: Acidobacteria, Alphaproteobacteria, Betaproteobacteria and Gammaproteobacteria, Verrucomicrobia, cand. division NC10. Downstream gene The record is from Rfam by way of RNAcentral. Lineage: Eukaryota; Metazoa; Arthropoda; Insecta; Hemiptera; Reduviidae.
GGGUGUUAGCCACAUGUUGUGGUGGGACAGGUUUGUGCGUUGGUCGGGCCGCCACG